GAUGAACGCUGGCGGCGUGCCUAAUACAUGCAAGUCGAGCGAACAGACGAGGAGCUUGCUCCUCUGACGUUAGCGGCGGACGGGUGAGUAACACGUGGAUAACCUACCUAUAAGACUGGGAUAACUUCGGGAAACCGGAGCUAAUACCGGAUAAUAUAUUGAACCGCAUGGUUCAAUAGUGAAAGACGGUUUUGCUGUCACUUAUAGAUGGAUCCGCGCCGCAUUCGCUAGUUGGUAAGGUAACGGCUUACCAAGGCGACGAUGCGUAGCCGACCUGAGAGGGUGAUCGGCCACCCUGGAACUGAGACACGGUCCAGACUCCUACGGGAGGCAGCAGUAGGGAAUCUUCCGCAAUGGGCGAAAGCCUGACGGAGCACCGCCGCGUGAGUGCUGAAGGUCUUCUGAUCGUAAAACUCUGUUAUUAGGGAAGAUCAAAUGUGUAAGUAACUAUGCACGUCUUGACGGUACCUAAUCAGAAAGCCACGGCUAACUACGUG
RNAcentral lists this ribosomal RNA (497 nucleotides) under uncultured bacterium. RNAcentral's name for it is "partial 16S ribosomal RNA". It matches the Rfam family "Bacterial small subunit ribosomal RNA", at positions 28 to 507 of the family's 1533-position model. The record is from RNAcentral.